This 459-nucleotide ribosomal RNA is filed under the name uncultured bacterium. RNAcentral describes it as "partial 16S ribosomal RNA". It matches the Rfam family "Bacterial small subunit ribosomal RNA", at positions 338 to 795 of the family's 1533-position model. The record is from RNAcentral.
CCUACGGGCGGCAGCAGUGAGGAAUAUUGGUCAAUGGACGAGAGUCUGAACCAGCCACGUAGCGUGAAGGAUGACUGCCCUAUGGGUUGUAAACUUCUUUUAUAUGGGAAUAAAACGUUCCACGUGUGGGAUUUUGUGUGUACCAUAUGAAUACGGAUCGGCUAACUCCGUCCCAGCAGACGCGGUAAUACGGAGGAUCCGAGCGUUAUCGGGAUUUAUGGGGUUAAAAGGGAGCGUAGGCGGAAUGUCAAGUCAGCGGUAAAAUUUCGGGGCUAAACCCCGUCGUGCCGUUGAAACUGGCGUUCUUGAGGGAGAGAGAAGUAUGCGGAAGGCGUGGUGUAGCGGUGAAAUGCAUAGAUAUCACGCAGAACUCCGAUUGCGAAGGCAGCAUACCGGCGCUCAACUGACGCUCAUGCACGAAAGCGUGGGUAUCGAACAGGAUUAGAUACCCUGGUAGUC